GGUCUGGUGGUCUAGCGGUAUGAUUCUCGCUUAGGGUACACCCUAAAGUCUAGUUUGCGAGAGGUCCCGGGUUCAAUUCCCGGCCAGACCC
Molecule: non-coding RNA, 91 nt
Organism: Microdochium nivale
Lineage: Eukaryota; Fungi; Ascomycota; Sordariomycetes; Xylariales; Microdochiaceae
Source: the annotation of a GenBank genome assembly